RNAcentral lists this ribosomal RNA (286 nucleotides) under Salmonella enterica subsp. enterica serovar Heidelberg. RNAcentral describes it as "partial 16S ribosomal RNA". It matches the Rfam family "Bacterial small subunit ribosomal RNA", at positions 8 to 290 of the family's 1533-position model. Lineage: Bacteria; Pseudomonadati; Pseudomonadota; Gammaproteobacteria; Enterobacterales; Enterobacteriaceae. The record is from RNAcentral.
AGAGUUUGAUCAUGGCUCAGAUUGAACGCUGGCGGCAGGCCUAACACAUGCAAGUCGAACGGUAACAGGAAGCAGCUUGCUGCUUCGCUGACGAGUGGCGGACGGGUGAGUAAUGUCUGGGAAACUGCCUGAUGGAGGGGGAUAACUACUGGAAACGGUGGCUAAUACCGCAUAACGUCGCAAGACCAAAGAGGGGGACCUUCGGGCCUCUUGCCAUCAGAUGUGCCCAGAUGGGAUUAGCUAGUUGGUGAGGUAACGGCUCACCAAGGCGACGAUCCCUAGCUGG